Molecule: ribosomal RNA, 377 nt
Filed under: uncultured bacterium
Lineage: Bacteria
Description: bacterial SSU rRNA
Rfam family: Bacterial small subunit ribosomal RNA
Source: RNAcentral
AGACGAACCGUCCGAACGUUAUUCGGAAUCACUGGGCUUAAAGGGUGCGUAGGCGGCGCGGAAAGUUGGGUGUGAAAUCCCUCGGCUCAACCGAGGAACUGCGCCCAAAACUACCGUGCUCGAGGGAGAUAGAGGUGAGCGGAACUUAGGGUGGAGCGGUGAAAUGCGUUGAUAUCCUAAGGAACACCGGUGGCGAAAGCGGCUCACUGGAUCUCUUCUGACGCUGAGGCACGAAAGCUAGGGUAGCGAACGGGAUUAGAUACCCCGGUAGUCCUAGCCGUAAACGAUGAGCACUGGAUUGGAGGGUCCUCCAUAGCCUUCCAGUCGCAACGAAAGCGUUAAGUGCUCCGCCUGGGGAGUAUGGUCGCAAGGCUGAA